UGAUCUCAAGUAAUGAUCGUAUUAUUGUAUAUUCUUGUAAAUUUAAGUAAAAUUUAAAAAUUUAUCUAGCGAUCUACAAUAUGAUAUUAAUAAGAUUAAUCCUUCAUUUUAUUUUCUACUUUGAUCUUCGUGUACUAUUCCUAACCUCAAAAUGAGUACAAGUGUCAGUCAUAGAAUCAAGAUUGGGAUACAUAUCAAUUAUUAAUAGAAAAAGAUAUCCUGUAUUGAAAGAAGAUAAAACAAAGCAAUAUUGUCUACAACUUUAAACCGUAAUUUCGUUUUAAUUGGAAACGCGAAGGAAAAUUGAAAUAUUACAUCUCGAAAGCCACAUUCUGCUAAGAUUAAUUAAAAUAGAAUUUUGACGUCCAAUUCAUAAUACAUUAAUUUAAAUCAUUGCAACGAACGAAUUGCAGAAAUAUAUUUCACUAUUCUAUCAACAAAGAUGAAAGAGAAACAGUCGGAGACGAGAACAAUCAGAGGUUAAUGGAAAAGCUUUACAUUAAUAUCAAAUUGAAUAAUAAGUCUGUUGAUGUCGACUAUGACUUAAAAAAAGUUCAAUUAUCUUUUCGACAGAAUUACAAAGGAACGUUUCAUUUUUAUCAUCUAACCACUAAUAACAUGAAAUAUUGUACUCAAAUGAAUUAAUUGAAAGUAUCACUCAUGUCCAGAAACAUGUUGAUACAAACAUUUGAAGGACAAUUGUAAAUGUAUGAAUUAAAAUUAAUAAUAAAUUAGAAGUCAUCAACUUUAAAAAAAAAAAAAAACA
This is a long non-coding RNA of Apis florea (little honeybee), 766 nucleotides long. Lineage: Eukaryota; Metazoa; Arthropoda; Insecta; Hymenoptera; Apidae. The record is from RefSeq and is a predicted model, not a curated record.